Molecule: unclassified non-coding RNA, 358 nt
Filed under: soil metagenome
Description: partial contains 5.8S ribosomal RNA, internal transcribed spacer 2, and large subunit ribosomal RNA
Rfam family: 5.8S ribosomal RNA (bases 1-120)
Source: RNAcentral
GAUGAAGAACGCAGCGAAAUGUGAUAAGUAAUGUGAAUUGCAGAAUUCAGUGAAUCAUCGAAUCUUUGAACGCACAUUGCGCCCGUCAGUAUUCUGGCGGGCAUGCCUGUUCGAGCGUCAUUACGCCCCUCAAGUCCCCUGUGGACUUGGUGUUGGGGAUCGGCGAGGCUGGUUUUCCAGCACAGCCGUCCCUUAAAUUAAUUGGCGGUCUCGCCGUGGCCCUCCUCUGCGCAGUAGUAAAACACUCGCAACAGGAGCCCGGCGCGGUCCACUGCCGUAAAACCCCCCAACUUUUCAUAGUUGACCUCGAAUCAGGUAGGACUACCCGCUGAACUUAAGCAUAUCAAUAAGCGGAGGA